RNAcentral lists this ribosomal RNA (700 nucleotides) under uncultured crenarchaeote. RNAcentral's name for it is "partial 16S ribosomal RNA". It matches the Rfam family "Archaeal small subunit ribosomal RNA", at positions 1 to 717 of the family's 1478-position model. The record is from RNAcentral. Lineage: Archaea; Thermoproteati; Thermoproteota.
UCUGGUUGAUCCUGCCGGACCCUACUGCUAUCANAGUGGGAUUAAGCCAUGCGAGUCGACGUNNCAAUGCGUGGCGAACGGCUCAGUAACACGUANUCAACAUGCCCAGGGGACGUGGAUAAUCUCGGGAAACUGAGAAUAAACCACNAUAGGUCACGAUUUCUGGAAUGGAUCAUGGCUUAAAUCUACNUGGCCCCUGGAUUGGACUGCGGCCGAUCAGGCUGUUGGUGAGGUAAUGGCCCACCAAACCUAUAACCGGUACGGGCCCUGAGAGGAGAAGCCCGGAGAUGGGCACUGANACAAGGGCCCAGGCCCUAUGGGGCGCAAUCAGGCGCGAAACCUCUGCAAUAGGCGAAAGCCUGACAGGGUUACUCUGAGUGAUUUCCGCUAAGGGGAUCUUUUGGCACCUCUAAAAAUGGUGCAGAAUAAGGGGUGGGCAAGGUCUGGUGUCAGCCGCCGCGGGUAAUACCAGCACCCCGAGCGGUCGGGGACGAUUAUUGGGCCUAAAGCAUCCGUAACCGGUUCUGCANUCUUCCGUUAAAUCCCACCGCUUCAACGGANGGGCCGCGGAGGAUNCUACAGGACUNGGAGGCCGGAAAAGCAACGGNACUCNNGGGUAGGGGUAAAUNCUUGAUCNNUNNANACNNCCAAGGGGAANNCGCUGNCAAAACNCCUCNACGNUAAGGAUNAACNUGGGGAC